Molecule: ribosomal RNA, 87 nt
Filed under: Bacteroides caecigallinarum
Lineage: Bacteria; Pseudomonadati; Bacteroidota; Bacteroidia; Bacteroidales; Bacteroidaceae
Source: RNAcentral
UAAGGUGACUAUAGCACGAAGGUUCCACCUCUUCCCAUUCCGAACAGAGAAGUUAAGCUUCGUCACGCCGAUGGUACUGCGUACAAG